This 308-nucleotide ribosomal RNA is filed under the name Sergentomyia grekovi. Its description in RNAcentral is "SSU rRNA". It matches the Rfam family "Eukaryotic small subunit ribosomal RNA", at positions 93 to 380 of the family's 1831-position model. Lineage: Eukaryota; Metazoa; Arthropoda; Insecta; Diptera; Psychodidae. The record is from RNAcentral.
AAGGCUCAGUAUAACAGCUAUUAUUUAUUUGAUCGUAAACAUAGUUACUUGGAUAACUGUGGUAAUUCCAGAGCUAAUACAUGCAAACAACAUGGAUCCCUGUAGCAAUAUGGGUGAAACAUGUGCUUUUAUUAGAUUAAAACCAUAUCCAUCUAUGGUGGAUUUGUUUUAGAUGAAUCUGGAUAAUUAUGGCUGAUCGUAUGGUCUUGCACCGACGAUAGAUCAUUCAAAUGUCUGCCCUAUCAACUAUUGAUGGUAGUAUAGAGGACUACCAUGGUUGCAACGGGUAACGGGGAAUCAGGGUUCGA